RNAcentral lists this ribosomal RNA (253 nucleotides) under uncultured bacterium. Its description in RNAcentral is "partial 16S ribosomal RNA". It matches the Rfam family "Bacterial small subunit ribosomal RNA", at positions 524 to 776 of the family's 1533-position model. The record is from RNAcentral.
UACGUAGGGUGCAAGCGUUGUCCGGAAUUAUUGGGCGUAAAGAGCGCGCAGGCGGUAACUCAAGUCAGAUGUGAAAUAUCCGGGCUUAACCCGGAGGGGUCAUUUGAAACUGAGUAACUAGAGUACAGCAGAGGAUAGCGGAAUUCCCGGUGUAGUGGUGAAAUGCGUAGAUAUCGGGAGGAACACCAGUGGCGAAGGCGGCUAUCUGGGCUGAAACUGACGCUGAGGCGCGAAGGCGAGGGGAGCAAACAGG